GGGAUAGAGUACUACUUUUCCUCUUUCUUUCUUUUAGCUUUAUCUGAGAGGUGUUUUCCAGAAGCUGAAGGUUGAUGCUGAACUGCUGAAGCUGGAGGAGCCAGAUGACAAAGAGCAUGGUGAGGAGGAGUAUCAGGCUAUGACACACGUUAUUUUGGAAAAACUUUUCAUAUGAUUAUUUAUUUUUCUAAUCCACCAUUUUUGGAAUGAGCUGAGAUUAGCCCAACUAAUAUUAACAUCAGUUCUAGGCUUGAAUCCAAACAGACUUUUCAAGAUCUCUAAAUUCCUUCAGAGAUGCUUAGAGGGAUAGAAUGCAGCUGAAUCACAGUCUCCCAACCAGAUCUUCCUUACCCGUGACAGGGUUUCACUCUGUCACCCAGGCUGGAGUGCAAUAGUGCCAUCAUGGUUCAUUGCAGCCUUCACCUCCCAGGCUCAAGCAAUCUUCCCCACCUCAGACUCCUGAGUAACUGGGACUAUAGCUGAAUAAUCUGGAGAUGGUGCUGGCAAAAGUCAGUAGAGACAGAGAGAGCUCAAAGCUCCCAGGAGCAUCCUGAUUCUGGCAGAAGCAGGAGCAGAGAGUUUAGAAUCAUGAGAUCAUCAUAAACCCCCUUCUUGGAAGAUCUCAGGACCUCAGACCACAGAAAUUACCCUCCACUUCAGUUUUGCCAUCCAUCAUACUAAGGCAGAAACACAUCUCACCUUCCUGCUACUCAAGAAUUGGCAAAUAAAGGCAAAAUCUCGCCCCUCUCUGAGAUUCUCAAAGAACAGUGUUUGACUCUGUUCAGUGGGGUUUUCCAGGGCCAAAAAUGCCUGUGGGAUUGAUUUUGGAGUCCCAGCAACCCUCAUCUCUUAGUCCUUAUAUUGCAUGCAGGUCCACAGGAAGAGAGGGUUGGCACUCAAAGGAUCACAGUUUCUAUCCCACGUCAUCACUCUUACUGACCACUCUGGCUCUGGGGAUGCUGCAUCUCUCUGAAAUCCACCCAGUUGCGGGAAAUACUGAGAGUUUAGGCCUACUUCCCAUUAUCUGAAUAAAAUAGAUAACAUCGUUUUUUCUUUUCCAAGAAAAUGGAAAUCAAGCCCACUGUUUUGUGUUAUCAGUUUAACCGCUGAGUUGAGGUGUCACCAGCAAGUACUGAGCUUUAACUGUUUCCAAAUGGGGCUUCUGAGAGGCACUGAGUUGGCAUCUACCAAGGACUUGGUCUACACAUAGAGGGAAGACAGAGACCAGGAAACACUCAUCUUUCUGCAAUUCAACUCUGGGCUCCAUCUUGAAGGAAAUGAAUGCAUGAAGAACAUUCUUAACCUAGUAUGUCUACGGCCAUACCACCCUAGGCGUGCCCAAUCUCGUCUGAACCCAGUACGUGACAUGCCCUAUGCUGAUGCUUUCAUAUGCGUUACCUUAUUUAAUCCUCAUGACUUCCACAUUAAUAAUAAUUACCUAUGAUGUGAGAGGGUCAUUAUACCAAUUUUAUGAAGAAAAUAUGGCUCAAAGAAAUAAUUUUUAAGUAGCAACACCAACAUUUGGAAUCUUCUUGAAACUUCUAACUCCUAGAAGACCACCAUGCUGUAUUUUUGGUCUACAAAUUUAAAUGGAAUAGUAUCUAAUGUUGGGGAAAACGGGAGGAAUGAAGGGUGACUGCUAAAGAGUACAGGAUUUCUUUUAGUGGUGAUGAAAAUGUUCUAAAAUUGACAGUGAUGACCAUUGCUCAACUCCAUGAGGACUCUAAAAUUCAUUGAAUUGUAUAUUUUAAAUGGGUGAAUUGUAUGGCAUGUGAGUUAUAACCACACAGAGCUGUUACAAAUAAGUAAUAUUUAAUGGAGGCCUCUUCCCACCCUACUCUACAACAGUCACAAAAACCUCUCAAUUUUCCCAUAUAUCCUGAAGUAGAAGGGCUUGCCUUUUAUCUCUUUGUAAUUUUAUGUAGUGGACAAUAAACAAAUGGCUGAUUGUAAUGAUGAAAAAGAUCCAAAUUUCUCCAGUAAAGUUGGGGGAGAAAUGCCCAGUUACAAGCAGCUGAAUGGAGGUCAGAGAGAACCAUAAUCCCAGAUAAAAAAUAAGCAGGCAAAAUUUUCUGUAGCACAAUCCCUCUCUCAUUUCAAGAAUCUGCCCACACGCUCCUCACACCUCCUCCUCUCCUGUCACUACCACCAUGAUCUUGUGGUUACACAAUUUCAUUCAGAGUCAAAAUUAGAAAUUAACUAAAGAAGCUAUGGUAUGGUAUUUUAUUCUAAGAUGUCAUCUCUUUUCAAAUGAAUCAUCAAUUUAAUAACAGUUUUCCAAGUGUUAAAAAUGUGGGGUAAAAAUGCAUUUUAGAAUCAAAGAAAUGUACUAAUCCCUAUGAAGAUGGUAAUCCAAUUAAAGUGUAAUUUCUCCAUAUUUGAAGACAUUUUCAGUGCAUGAAAAUGCUUUUUAGAAUCAGAGGGCUAAUGAAUGUUUAAUGAUGUAAAUCUAUGCCUGACACAAUAGAAGAACGACUGGUGUUUAUUGUUUAGGAUGGAGGGGGCCGCUUCCCAGAAUCUAUCGAAUGCCCAAAGCCUGUGCCCUCCCCAUUCAUUUUUCUGGGCUGAACCCUCACUCUCAUUUUCAAGGUUAACAGGGGAAGUAGA
Molecule: long non-coding RNA, 2607 nt
Filed under: Homo sapiens (human)
Lineage: Eukaryota; Metazoa; Chordata; Mammalia; Primates; Hominidae
Description: HSALNT0096717
Source: RNAcentral